AAAUUGAAGAGUUUGAUCAUGGCUCAGAUUGAACGCUGGCGGCAGGCCUAACACAUGCAAGUCGAGCGGAAACGAGUUAUCAGAACCUUCGGGGRACGAUAACGGCGUCGAGCGGCGGACGGGUGAGUAAUGCCUAGGAAAUUGCCCUGAUGUGGGGGAUAACCAUUGGAAACGAUGGCUAAUACCGCAUGAUGCCUACGGGCCAAAGAGGGGGACCUUCGGGCCUCUCGCGUCAGGAUAUGCCUAGGUGGGAUUAGCUAGUUGGUGAGGUAAGGGCUCACCAAGGCGACGAUCCCUAGCUGGUCUGAGAGGAUGAUCAGCCACACUGGAACUGAGACACGGUC
This 344-nucleotide ribosomal RNA is filed under the name Vibrio parahaemolyticus. RNAcentral describes it as "bacterial SSU rRNA". Lineage: Bacteria; Pseudomonadati; Pseudomonadota; Gammaproteobacteria; Vibrionales; Vibrionaceae. The record is from RNAcentral.